Long non-coding RNA from Mobula hypostoma (lesser devil ray), 566 nucleotides. RefSeq lists it as uncharacterized. The transcript is spliced from 3 exons. NCBI's taxonomy places the organism in Eukaryota, Metazoa, Chordata, Chondrichthyes, Myliobatiformes, Myliobatidae. The record is from RefSeq and is a predicted model, not a curated record.
UCUGUAACAGAUUCAACGAGGACUUCACAUUCUGAAACUUCAGAAAUAAGAGUCAAUGAUACUCGAAAAAAAAACAUACAAUCCAUUUCUGCCAAAAGUUACAUGAUAUGGAAAGUGGGACGCUGGCUGUUCUUUGCUCUGCUGGGGAUCUGGACAGUCGCUGUCACAUGGUUCACAGGAGACAAAAAGAGAUCUGAUCAAUCAGAUCCUCGCAGACUGGUCCAAGAGAAAAAGAGAAGGAUCCCAGAUAACACUGAUCGUGGAGGAGUGUUGCACCAAGAUUAAGUAUUCAUUACUCAUCCGCCCUGUAGAGAAUUGAUCUCUUGUUAUUAUAUCACAGAAUUGCAUUGCAGAAGGUGAAUUCGAACAAAAUAAUCUUAUCAUGCUUCAAGAUGGUGGUCUUGCUUAAUAGAAAUCUGCUCGCAACACUUCACCCACACUGAUCUGAAUAUUAUGACAUUGUCUCUUGAUUUCCUGCAUAAACCCAGCAUCAAUUUGUAAGCUUUGUAUGAUCAUGAACUGCUCAAAAUUCUUUUACCAUGUUAAUAUCUCUUCUCGGGCUUCCA